Molecule: ribosomal RNA, 253 nt
Filed under: uncultured bacterium
Lineage: Bacteria
Description: partial 16S ribosomal RNA
Rfam family: Bacterial small subunit ribosomal RNA
Source: RNAcentral
UACGUAGGGCGCAAGCGUUGUCCGGAAUUAUUGGGCGUAAAGAGCUCGUAGGCGGCCUGUUGCGUCCGCUGUGAAAUCCCGGGGCUCAACCCCGGGCCUGCAGUGGAUACGGGCUGGCUAGAGGCAGGCAGGGGAGAACGGAAUUCCUGGUGUAGCGGUGAAAUGCGCAGAUAUCAGGAGGAACACCGGUGGCGAAGGCGGAUCUCUGGGCCAUUACUGACGCUGAGGAGCGAAAGCGUGGGGAGCGAACAGG